RNAcentral lists this ribosomal RNA (253 nucleotides) under uncultured bacterium. RNAcentral's name for it is "partial 16S ribosomal RNA". It matches the Rfam family "Bacterial small subunit ribosomal RNA", at positions 524 to 776 of the family's 1533-position model. The record is from RNAcentral.
UACGUAGGGGCCUAGCGUUGUCCGGAUUUAUUGGGCGUAAAGGGCGCGUAGGCGGCCACGCACGUCCGUUGUGAAAUCGCCCGGCUCAACUGGGCGGGGUCGGCGGAUACGGCGUGGCUGGAGCAAGCUAGGGGGCAAUGGAAUUCCCGGUGUAGUGGUGGAAUGCGUAGAUAUCGGGAGGAACACCAGUGGCGAAGGCGGUUGCCUGGAGCUUUGCUGACGCUGAGGCGCGAAAGCGUGGGGAGCGAUCCGG